UGAAACCGGUACAGUUCCAUCCUUGUCCGCCGUUGAGCUAAGGCUAAAGAUAGAACAUACAC
RNAcentral lists this small RNA (62 nucleotides) under Arabidopsis thaliana (thale cress). Its description in RNAcentral is "ATSL235260". The record is from RNAcentral. Lineage: Eukaryota; Viridiplantae; Streptophyta; Magnoliopsida; Brassicales; Brassicaceae.